This 419-nucleotide unclassified non-coding RNA is filed under the name fungal sp. RNAcentral describes it as "partial internal transcribed spacer region". The stretch from base 1 to 46 matches the Rfam family "Eukaryotic small subunit ribosomal RNA", at positions 1786 to 1831 of the family's 1831-position model. The record is from RNAcentral. Lineage: Eukaryota; Fungi.
AAGUCGUAACAAGGUUUCCGUAGGUGAACCUGCGGAAGGAUCAUUAUCAUAACGUAUCCACGUAUAAACCAACUUUAAAUUGAUGUGAAACGUAACUGUUUUAACACCUCGAGAUAAUCAGAUGAUUGCUAUACUUUACAUUGUUUGCGUGAUUAAAGCAAAAACGGUUUAGUAUGGACCUGUGCCUGUAACAAGGUGCUAGCGCUGAUUAUUUGGAGUGUAAAAAUUUAAUCAACUAUUAACCCAUUGAACCGAAUUACUAUAUUCUUAACUGAGUUUAGUUAUUCAUUUUAAUUUCUAUUGUGUGAACUGAAUUGUCUACUUACUUGACACCGUCAUUGGUGGAGAGAAGUCGAUUAUAUUUACGAAACAUUAUAAAUUUCUAUGAACAACUCAUAGCAACGGAUAUCUUGGUUCUC